RNAcentral lists this ribosomal RNA (453 nucleotides) under Blastocystis sp. subtype 4. RNAcentral describes it as "SSU rRNA". It matches the Rfam family "Eukaryotic small subunit ribosomal RNA", at positions 493 to 954 of the family's 1831-position model. Lineage: Eukaryota; Bigyra; Opalinata; Blastocystidae. The record is from RNAcentral.
UAAAUUUUUGGCACUUCGGAUUUGAGAACAAUGUACCCCUGUUAUCGAUAAACAAUUGGAGGGCAAGUCUGGUGCCAGCAGCCGCGGUAAUUCCAGCUCCAAUAGCGUAUAUUAACGUUGUUGCAGUUAAAAAGCUCGUAGUUGAAUUGAAGUGAACUUGGAUUGAUGUGAUCUUCGGAUGACGUGAAUCAAAGUUGACUCUUUCCAAAGUCAAUACAUUGGUAUUCAUUUAUCUUUGUAUUGUGUUUGGUCAUUUACUGUGAGAAAAUUAGAGUGUUCAAAGCAGACGUUUGUUUGAAUACAUUAGCAUGGAAUAAUCAUAUAAGGCUUUCAUGUUGAUUUGAUUGGUUUGAAUAUGGAAGCAAGAUUAAAAGGGACAGUUGGGGGUAUUCAUAUUCAAUAGUCAGAGGUGAAAUUCUGGGAUUUAUGGAAGAUGAACAACUGCGAAAGCAA